RNAcentral lists this ribosomal RNA (497 nucleotides) under uncultured bacterium. RNAcentral describes it as "partial 16S ribosomal RNA". It matches the Rfam family "Bacterial small subunit ribosomal RNA", at positions 28 to 507 of the family's 1533-position model. The record is from RNAcentral.
GAUGAACGCUGGCGGCGUGCCUAAUACAUGCAAGUCGAGCGAACAGACGAGGAGCUUGCUCCUCUGACGUUAGCGGCGGACGGGUGAGUAACACGUGGAUAACCUACCUAUAAGACUGGGAUAACUUCGGGAAACCGGAGCUACUACCGGAUAAUAUAUUGAACCGCAUGGUUCAAUAGUGAAAGACGGUUUUGCUGUCACUUAUAGAUGGAUCCGCGCCGCAUUAGCUAGUUGGUAAGGUAACGGCUUACCAAGGCAACGAUGCGUAGCCGACCUGAGAGGGUGAUCGGCCACACUGGAACUGAGACACGGUCCAGACUCCUACGGGAGGCCGCAGUAGGGAAUCUUCCGCAAUGGGCGAAAGCCUGACGGAGCAACGCCGCGUGAGUGAUGAAGGUCUUCGGAUCGUAAAACUCUGUUAUUAGGGAAGAACAAAUGUGUAAGUAACUAUGCACGUCUUGACGGUACCUAAUCAGAAAGCCACGGCUAACUACGUG